UACGUAGGGUGCGAGCGUUGUCCGGAAUUAUUGGGCGUAAAGAGCUUGUAGGCGGUUUGUCGCGUCUGCUGUGAAAAUCCGGGGCUCAACCCCGGACUUGCAGUGGGUACGGGCAGACUAGAGUGUGGUAGGGGAGACUGGAAUUCCUGGUGUAGCGGUGAAAUGCGCAGAUAUCAGGAGGAACACCGAUGGCGAAGGCAGGUCUCUGGGCCACUACUGACGCUGAGGCGCGAAAGUGUGGGGAGCAAACAGGAUUAGAUACCCGGGUAGU
This 271-nucleotide ribosomal RNA is filed under the name uncultured prokaryote. RNAcentral's name for it is "partial 16S ribosomal RNA". It matches the Rfam family "Bacterial small subunit ribosomal RNA", at positions 524 to 794 of the family's 1533-position model. The record is from RNAcentral.